Molecule: ribosomal RNA, 253 nt
Filed under: uncultured bacterium
Lineage: Bacteria
Description: partial 16S ribosomal RNA
Rfam family: Bacterial small subunit ribosomal RNA
Source: RNAcentral
UACAGAGACUGCAAGCGUUAUUCGGAUUCACUGGGCGUAAAGGGUGCGCAGGCGGCCGUGUGUGUGAGGCGUGAAAGCCUGGAGCUUAACUCCAGAAUUGCACCUCAAACUACACGGCUAGAGCAUUGGAGAGGGUAGCAGAAUUCACGGUGUAGCAGUGAAAUGCGUAGAUAUCGUGAGGAAUACCAGAGGCGAAGGCGGCUACGUGGACAAUUGCUGACGCUCAGGCACGAAAGCGUGGGGAGCAAACAGG